CAAUGGGCGAAAGCCUGNCCGAGCGAUGCCNCGUGAGUGAAGAAGGCCCUAUGGGUUGUAAAGCUCUGUCAGAUUGGGAAGAAAAUCUGCGGUUAAUACCCGUGGGACUUGACGGUACCAUCAGAGGAAGCACCGGCUAACUCCGUGCCAGCAGCCGCGGUAAUACGGAGGGUGCAAGCGUUGGUUCGGAUUCACUGGGUAUAAAGGGUGCGCAGGCGGCCUGAUAAGUCAGAGGUGAAAUAUGCUCGGCUCAACCGCGCAAACUGCCCCUGAAACUGUCAGGCUUGAGUUCGAGAGAGGUAGGUGGAAUUCCAGGUCUAGCGGUGAAAUG
RNAcentral lists this ribosomal RNA (331 nucleotides) under uncultured Latescibacterota bacterium. Its description in RNAcentral is "bacterial SSU rRNA". It matches the Rfam family "Bacterial small subunit ribosomal RNA", at positions 369 to 688 of the family's 1533-position model. Lineage: Bacteria; Pseudomonadati; Candidatus Latescibacterota. The record is from RNAcentral.